Molecule: non-coding RNA, 1542 nt
Organism: Odocoileus virginianus texanus
Lineage: Eukaryota; Metazoa; Chordata; Mammalia; Artiodactyla; Cervidae
Source: RefSeq, a predicted model, not a curated record
GCUGCUGGGGGCCCUGGCCCGCUUCCCAGGUUGGCGGGAGCAGACGGUGGCCAUCCUCCGACCCGUCGAUGGUCUGGCACAGCUCUGAUCAUCUUUUCGCUCUUCCUCAGGCUGGAGGGAGCGGCGGCUGCAGCCAGUUACUCCUGGGUUUUUUGUUUUUGUUUUUUGUUUUUGGCAAGAGGAGGCUGCUCAAAGCGAGAGUUCGCGAAAACCUGAUGGAUGGGAACUCUGCCCACGCCGAAAAUCCUUAUCUUUUUGUUUGUUUGCUUACGAAGCACGUUACCCAGAGUGUCUGCCAAGCCAGGUGGAAGUGGAGGGUGGACACGGUAUCUGGAUCCCCCUCCCAGGGCCCAGGGCCGACUCUGCAGCGCCCUCUGCCGCAGGCUCCGCCUCCACCGUCUGCGUGCCCUCCGGUCACCUCAGGGACCCUCCUUGGAGAUGCAGAACACAGUUAACGGUGAAGCUCCGCUUAAUAAGGACUAUUGUCCAGGUCACAGCCUCUCAGAUGCCUCUGAGGAGCUAUUCUGAAGAGAUGGGGAGAGAACGAGGCAAAACCCAUCUAUGGUGACAGGAGUCUUGGAAGGAUUUGCUCUUGUGUUGAGCAGUCCCAGUGUUUAUAAGGAGUCAAGAGACAGCAAGAGGAAACUCUGGGGACCAAGGGCUCCCCUGCCUCCCCAACAUAUUCCUUCAGGAAAGAAGGUAAGAUUGAGUCAUGAGGACAUGAGUGUCAGCAUUGAAAACGCUUAGGAUUGUGGGAUUCACAGGACAGAGUGCAGUAGGACACACCAUAAGAGAGGAAAAAAUAAGGCAUUUUGUAUAAUUGAUGAGCAUCAAGAACAAAACAAAACAGGUUGCUCAGUCCCAAUGCCCGCUGAGAAGUGGAAAAAUGCUUAAUAAGUUGCCAAACAUCAAUAAUAGAAACAGUUAUCAACAGGGUUAUGACUUUUAACUCUGUCAACACACAUAUGCCUUUAGCAAAAAGGCAUUAGAUCAGAGACCAAAUAAGCCAACAGAACACUGCAAACAAUGUUUCCAUGUUAAUUAUUAUAACCCAUACCCAGACAUUGCUUCUUUAUAGUCACACACAUGUAUCCUGACCAAAACACAACCCAUUGUGACCUUAAUGAGCUAAUCAUUUUGGUCAGUGCUGAAAUCAUCACAAAUUCAGGUUUAAUUGUAAUUUUAGUCCAUAAUGGAGAGUAUAAUUUAGAAUUAUCUACUAAAUACAAUGCAAGAAUGAUUCUCAUUUUUUUUUCAGCUAUAAUAAUAUCUAUGUGUAUUUUGUCUUCUUCUUUGAAAAUACAUUGUUCAUAGCAGCUUGGGUAACAAGAUGACAAUACAAUUAGUUCCGAAGAAGUUUGUGAGUCACUUUGUCAUAUCUGAGCCAGUAUAAGUUUAUUGGCAUCAAAUAUGCAGAUAAGUUUUAAUAUUUAUUAUUCUUUAGAGAAAAAAACAAAGUCAGAAACUGAACAUAAAUUUAUAGACUUGUUAACAUGUGAUGCAUGCUCAGUCACUUCAGUCAUGUCCGACCCUUUGCGAUCA